GCAGUGGCAGCUCAGACUCACGGGGCUGGAGGCCAAAGCAGGGAGAAGCUGGUCUGCAGCCCACUCCAUUACAGUUCUAAGUUCUACGUGAUGAAGUAUCUGGUGUUUAGAACUCCUUUUUGAAGUUCUCAGUAGUUGGAUGCAGAAACCUUUGUGAAAAUAUCUGCUUUCAAAUUCAGAGAUUCAGCAAGUGAGCACUGGAAUCUAGUCUGAACUUCAGAAGAGCACUGUCCUGUUCCAGAGUGAGUACUGCUAUUCUCUCAUAGAAUAGGAGUGUCCAUACAUUGACAGUAGUUCAUAAUACAGUAGAUCUUUGCUGCUUA
Molecule: non-coding RNA, 323 nt
Organism: Phasianus colchicus (ring-necked pheasant)
Lineage: Eukaryota; Metazoa; Chordata; Aves; Galliformes; Phasianidae
Source: RefSeq, a predicted model, not a curated record